Molecule: ribosomal RNA, 506 nt
Filed under: uncultured Flavobacteriia bacterium
Lineage: Bacteria; Pseudomonadati; Bacteroidota; Flavobacteriia
Description: bacterial SSU rRNA
Rfam family: Bacterial small subunit ribosomal RNA
Source: RNAcentral
AGCCAUGCCGCGUGCAGGAUGACUGCCCUAUGGGUUGUAAACUGCUUUUAUUUGGGAAUAAACCUCUUUACGUGUAGAGAGCUGAAGGUACCAAAUGAAUAAGCACCGGCUAACUCCGUGCCAGCAGCCGCGGUAAUACGGAGGGUGCAAGCGUUAUCCGGAAUCAUUGGGUUUAAAGGGUCCGCAGGCGGAUUUAUAAGUCAGUGGUGAAAUCCUAUCGCUUAACGAUAGAACUGCCAUUGAUACUGUAAGUCUUGAAUUCGGUCGGAGUGGGCGGAAUGUGUAGUGUAGCGGUGAAAUGCAUAGAUAUUACACAGAACACCGAUAGCGAAGGCAGCUCACUAGGCCUGAAUUGACGCUCAGGGACGAAAGCGUGGGGAUCAAACAGGAUUAGAUACCCUGGUAGUCCACGCUGUAAACGAUGAUUACUCGUUUUCGGCGAUAUACAGUCGGAGACUAAGCGAAAGUGAUAAGUAAUCCACCUGGGGAGUACGAUCGCAAGGUUG